AGUUAACUGCUUGCACUAGAGAGAAGUUAAAUCUCCAAGAGGAGCUUUCGGAAGCUUACCGUAUCAAAGAUCUUCAACCGUUAGAAGAUGCGCUAUGUGAGCUGGUUACUGCAAAUACGUUGACCAUUUCUAAGCUCGUCAGCAAGUUUAUAUACAAAGGACAUGCAAAGCAAGAUAUCUUUCAUAAAAGUGGGAGCCUCCAUAAAAAAGGAGCUGGAUGCCCUACAUAAAAAACAACAACAAUACUGAACAAUACUCAACCUUGUUAACACCAGAUGUUCUUUUUUUUUUGAAAUUGAUGCUAAUUAUGUUAAAUUUUUGUUGGAAUGAAUUGUUUUUUAUUUUUUGGGGUUUAGAAUAGGGUUUUGUGAAUUGUUCCUUGUUUUUGGAAUCAAUGUUGCUGCUGCUGAGUUAUGUGUUGAAACUUGGAUAUAGAAAAUUUUAUAAUAAGACCUGUUUUGAUAAUGAAUUCGUCCUAUUUUGAUUAUGAA
Camellia sinensis is the source of this 491-nucleotide non-coding RNA. NCBI's taxonomy places the organism in Eukaryota, Viridiplantae, Streptophyta, Magnoliopsida, Ericales, Theaceae. The record is from RefSeq and is a predicted model, not a curated record.